Molecule: transfer RNA, 75 nt
Filed under: [Flexibacter] sp. ATCC 35208
Lineage: Bacteria; Pseudomonadati; Bacteroidota; Chitinophagia; Chitinophagales; Chitinophagaceae
Description: tRNA-Lys
Rfam family: tRNA
About the family: Transfer RNA (tRNA) molecules are approximately 80 nucleotides in length.
Source: RNAcentral
GUUGGUAUAGCUCAGUGGCAGAGCGCCCGGCCCUUAUUCGGGUGGACACAGGUUCGAGUCCUGUUAUCAGCACCU